RNAcentral lists this ribosomal RNA (253 nucleotides) under uncultured bacterium. Its description in RNAcentral is "partial 16S ribosomal RNA". It matches the Rfam family "Bacterial small subunit ribosomal RNA", at positions 524 to 776 of the family's 1533-position model. The record is from RNAcentral.
UACGGGGGGGGCAAGCGUUGUUCGGAAUCACUGGGCUUAAAGGGCGCGUAGGCGGCCUGCCAAGUCAGGAGUGAAAUCUUUCGGCUCAACCGGAAAAGUGCUUUUGAUACUGGCGGGCUAGAGGGAGAUAGGGGCAUGUGGAACUUCCGGUGGAGCGGUGAAAUGCGUUGAUAUCGGAAGGAACGCCGGUGGCGAAAGCGACGUGCUGGACCUCUUCUGACGCUGAGGCGCGAAAGCCAGGGGAGCGAACGGG